Molecule: long non-coding RNA, 1636 nt
Organism: Taeniopygia guttata (zebra finch)
Lineage: Eukaryota; Metazoa; Chordata; Aves; Passeriformes; Estrildidae
Source: Ensembl
GCCGCUGCCCGACGCGGUCCGGGCCUCUUUCUGCGGCCCCUCAGCCCCCGCCCGCCGCUGCCCGAGGUGGUGCGAGCCUCCUUCCGCGGCGCGGUGGAGGUGCUGCCGGGGAGCUCCCGCUCCCGGUGCGGAGGCGACGGGGCGGAGGGCCUGGUGCCGCCGGAGGAUGCUGGUCGUUUAUGGGAAAAAAGUAGUUGCUAAGAAAGACGCCAGAAUUUUGCUGAAGUAGAUAAGAAGCCUCCUAAGCCCAUGUACUUUAAAGUGUUAAAAACAAAGCUGUUGAAAUCGGGACAAUAAAGAUCCUGGUCCUCAGUGAAGUCAGCAGCUUUUCCUAGUUUGAGAGAUGUGAGUCUUGCAUGUUUCUCAAACUGUUUAUUCAUUCCUCAAACAGAGCUCAAGCCCAUGAAGCCUUCUCUCACAGGAUAUCACUUCCAGACAAAUUUAGUGAGGUCUGAGCAUGCUCCCACCCACCAUGUGUUGGAAAAGCAACUUUUUAACCUGCUGCAGUAGCAAAAACUCACACUCACGGAGUAUACGUGCUCUAAAUGCCUACAAUACAGAGGAAUCCAGCUACUUCUAAUGGGAUGCAUUUGCAGAGAGAAAGAAUUCCUCAUUUAAGAUGGGUAAUAAGCAAACGAUAUUUACUGAUGAACAGCUAGAUGCCUACCAGGUCCUGGGCUGACUGCUGGAGCCACCCACACAGAGAGCUCUUGCCUCUCCACAGCAUCCUGGAGGAGUCAGCAAUUUGUAAGUUGAGCUGUUUGAGUUGGAAUUCACCAUCUUACCUGCCUUCUUCUCAUUUGUGGAAUUUCUUCAGAAUAGAAAAAGGAAGAAUGGGGCAAUGUUUCCAUAAUUUUUUUAGUCCAGGUUUUUCAUGUCUUGAUCCAGCAGCUGAGUUACCAGGGUCUCUAAACUGUGGGCCAAAGUACAACACUGUGUACCACAGUCCACUUUGCAACAGUCUGUUGUGCACAUCUGUACCCCAGUGACCAGAAAGGCAUCUACAUAUAAAUUGCUUUAAUAAACUGAUCAUUGAGGUUUUGUUUUUUUUUUCCCUAAAGCAGUUUAUGUGUCUGUGAGUUACUUCUGUACUCCUUACAACAGUGGUCCAGUGAUACUAUGAACAGUAGUACAGUAUUCAUAGUAUCAGCAUUCAGAAGCAAAAGUGUCAAUCUUUUUUGUAAAAUAUAUCUUGGUUGUUCUUUUUUUUUACUUCCUCACAGUUCCUAUUGGUGGACUGUUCAAAACCUCACUCACCUCAUGGUUAGACUUAUAAUUUCUUUUUUGAAAUAUAUUUCUUGACAUUGUAUUAUCUGGUUAUACUUUCUAUUAUUUCUGUAUUUCAUACAAAUUUCUUUGAUCUUAUAGCACCUCAUAUUGUUUAAGGAGGAAAACUUUUAUAAUUUUUUAAAAAUUCAUUGUGUUUUAUGUGCUUGUUCCAUGAAAGACACUAUGAGGUGAAAAGGUGAGAAGUUCAUGUGCCUAAAGUGUGGUAAAACCUAUGCAAGUGGCUUUGGCUUUAAUGAGUGAAGAUUAAGCUGCAGAAAAAUCACCUGCUUGAAAAGCUAGCAUGCAUAAAUCUUAGAUCAUUAGUGUAAUAUUAAUGAAAUAAAAUAAAUCAAAUUGUUUUAUUUAU